This is a long non-coding RNA of Mustela lutreola (European mink), 2262 nucleotides long. RefSeq lists it as uncharacterized. The transcript has 3 exons. Lineage: Eukaryota; Metazoa; Chordata; Mammalia; Carnivora; Mustelidae. The record is from RefSeq and is a predicted model, not a curated record.
GGACACACCAGGCCAGCCGUGAGGGAGAUAGGGCCCCUCGGGGAAGCUCAGAGACGCUGGACGGUCGUCCAAAGUGACAACACAGGGUAACAAGAGUUGUGAUGGUCAAAGUGAGAGCACCGGUCCCUCCUUGGGAGGGUCACGGGAUGCCUUCCAGAAGGACCCCUCCUUCACACAACCCUAAGGAAGGAGGAAAGAAAGGUGGGAUGCGACGGUUUUGAAGACUGACGAUGCAAAGUUCCUAUCCGAAGGAGCUUCUGGACAGUAGAGUUGAGAAAGAGUGUCUACCUGCAUCCACGUUUCUGGUUAUAGGAUCUCCCCAGAGGAGGAACCUCAUAGAAUACAAACAAAACAAACAACUCCGGCUCGAAGUCACAGAAUGAGAAGAGGAGACAGCAAAGAAAGACUCCGUAAGAAGGACCUUAUCAGGUACUGUUAACAACUAAACACAACAGUAAACUCGUGCCUCCCGAGUCAAAAGACGUAAGCCACAGGAAACCACUGGGAGGCUGUCCUGAGACCUCAAUCGGUGCCAUGUGAGGGAUGGUUCCAAAACAGACAAGGGCAGGAAGCUGCACCUUCCCUCCAAGACCACUGGGACCAGGCUGGUAACUGCAGGAAGUGCCACCUUCCCUCAAGACCCACCAGACAAGACCGCCAGAGCUACCCAGGAGGGUGCUUUAAUCUGCAUGUGCUUUUGCUCUUUUUCUCUCCUCUCUGUCAAGUUAAGGUUUAAACGGUUGAUGCUUCUUAGCUAUUAACCAUGACACCUCCAAGGUCUUUCAUACUGUUAUUCAGUUGUUCAUAUUUUACCUCAGUCCCUCCUCAGUUGGAGAGUCCAGGGCCAGGCUGCAACUUACUCACCAUUUGGCUACAACAUGCGAUUACACAGUAUGCUGGCUUUGUACUCACCUGUCUUUCGGGGCCAUCCAGCUUUCUUUGCUGUCAGUGUCAUGGAAUUAAUCAAAUUACUUCCUAGGUGAUAAGACUCAACCGAGAAGUGAUCUGGGGAUUAAAAAUAGUUUAACAGGUCAAACAACCAGAAUUCUAGAACCUUCUAUCACGUCAUACAUAGAAGGGAAUUUGGGGGUCCUAAACAAAAAACGCUCAGAAACCUUUUGUUUAGCUUUCCCUUUUUGUUAGCUUUUCCAAGUAAACUUUCACAAAAGGAAAGCCAGUGGUGAGGGUAAAAUGAGGGACAAAGAAGUGUUUUGAGAAAAUGGGACCCAAUGAGAGGAAAAGAGAUGGUAAGAGUUCACUGAGGGAAGAGGGCCCCCAAAGGGUACUCAAGCAAGGAAGCAACUGAGGUGAAUAUACCUCUGGAGAGUCCGCAGAGAAUACAGAAGGCAGCGGUAUGGAGUCUGCAGACGGUCUAGAACGUGGGCAUCUGUAGAAUCCAGUGAGAAAGUAGAAACCAAAAGUACAGGGACUGAGUGGUCCAUUAUAGGUCUUCAGAAGGUCCGUGAGCGGCUGAAGGCAGAGAUUGAUCUAAGCCCCUCAGAGGAAUGGUGGGAGCCAUAGGGCGGUGAGGCAACAGCAUCUUCCACAGACUCCCAAACAGCAGAAUGUCAGCUUCCAUGGCCGCUAUAUCACACAACUCACAGUGGGGAUCUUGAUAAAAGUGCUGCCACAGACUGCCUGUAAUUGGGACCUUGUCCAAGUGGCUGCAGAAGGCAAGAGGAGUAAGCUAAGGUCAGUGAGCUGGGAUGGGGCCUGGCAGAGCUAGAAACACUCUAUGUUCCCCCACAUCCCAAACUUCACAGUGUUUCCCUCAUUCCUCACACCAAGGCUUUCUUUCACAUUCCCUUCCCUCCAGGCUUCCGAGCCGACGUCAACCGCAGGCUGCACUGGGCCCUGCCACUGCAUAAGUCAUCCUAGGAAGGGGGACCCCAGGAAAGAGGAGAGAGAGAGUCCUCUCCUCUGUUCCCCAGGAAAGCUUGUCCUGUGCUCCAUCAGAUUCUUCCAGAUUCUCCAAUCUGAGAAUCCAAGAACUUGGUUUACUUGUGGUAAAAAGAGGAACAAAGUGAUAUUUUAGGAGUCUUUGUGGAAUGAUAUCUUGGGGCAGACUCUUGGAAGACUAAGACUCUGAAAGCAGGAAAACUAUUACACAAGGUAAAAUUGUCCAUGACAAGAAUGGGAAGUCUCUUCCCAGACAUUCUCUCGUGCGAUCCUCACAACAACCCUGUGAGGUAUGGAGACCAGGUGACACCUCAGAGGAGGAGCCUGAAUCUUGUGGAGGUCAGGACCUGGGAGUUCUGCCCC